GCUAGCGGCAGGCCUAAUACAUGCAAGUCGAGGGGUAACAGGAAGUGCUUGCACUUCGCUGACGACCGGCGCACGGGUGAGUAUCGCGUAUACAAUCUGCCUCAUACUAGGGAAUAGCCCGAAGAAAUUUGGAUUAAUGCCCUAUAGUAUCUUUUUAAGGCAUCUUAUUAAGAUUAAAGGUUACGGUAUGAGAUGAGUAUGCGUUCUAUUAGCUAGUAGGUGUGGUAACGGCACACCUAGGCUACGAUAGAUAGGGGCCCUGAGAGGGGGAUCCCCCACACUGGUACUGAGACACGGACCAGACUCCUACGGGAGGCAGCAGUAAGGAAUAUUGGACAAUGGGCGAAAGCCUGAUCCAGCCAUGCCGCGUGCAGGAUGACUGCCCUAUGGGUUGUAAACUGCUUUUAUAUAGGAAGAAAAAUUUUCUCGUGAGAAAACUUGACGGUACUAUAAGAAUAAGGAUCGGCUAACUCCGUGCCAGCAGCCGCGGUAAUACGGAGGAUCCAAGCGUUAUCCGGAAUCAUUGGGUUUAAAGGGUCCGUAGGUGGACAAAUAAGUCAGAGGUGAAAUCCUGCAGCUCAACUGUAGAACUGCCUUUGAUACUGUUUGUCUUGAGUUAUUAUGAAGUGGUUAGAAUGUGUAGUGUAGCGGUGAAAUGCAUAGAUAUUACACAGAAUACCGAUUGCGAAGGCAGAUCACUAAUAAUUAACUGACACUGAGGGACGAAAGCGUGGGUAGCGAACAGGAUUAGAUACCCUGGUAGUCCACGCCGUAAACGAUGGUCACUAGCUGUUUGGACUUCGGUCUGAGUGGCUAAGCGAAAGUGAUAAGUGACCCACCUGGGGAGUACGUCG
Molecule: ribosomal RNA, 854 nt
Filed under: uncultured Flavobacteriaceae bacterium
Lineage: Bacteria; Pseudomonadati; Bacteroidota; Flavobacteriia; Flavobacteriales; Flavobacteriaceae
Description: bacterial SSU rRNA
Rfam family: Bacterial small subunit ribosomal RNA
Source: RNAcentral